CGGGAGGGUAGAGAGUCCCCAGCAAGUGACAAAGUUUCCUGCAGCAAAGGACGUGGUUAGAUGUGUGUUAGGAAAGGCCCCUCCGAGGUUGCCGAGUGACAAAGGCGCCAAAGAGGCCCAGGUGGGCUUCAGAAGGACAGGCAAGGGUUACACAGGUGAUGGGUGAUGGGGGCUUGGACCCCUGAGCCCUACCUACUCUUGCUGGCUGGGUCCUGAGCUAGCGCUCUAGCCUCCUGAGGGGACCCCAGUUUCCUCCAGCACGCUCCAUGCCAGCUCUGGCUGCUGGCUGCAACACCCUUUCCGCUUCUCCGUCCCUGGAUGUUAGUCCCCAAAUGCUCCCUGCCCCUUGCAGACAGCACUCAGGCCAGUGGGAGCUGCCACUUCAUUUUAGAGAGGACAGAACGAUUGGGUUCAAAACUUUGAAGUCAGUAGUGAGUGGCAGAGAUGGGAGGUGAACCUUAGUCUGUCUGCCUCAUCCACCAUACUAGGUGGCCUUGCAGUUUCAGGAAGGGUUCUGUCACUUGAUGGCUAUGGGACUUCGGGUGAGUCACAUUACCUUUCACUGCCUCAGCAUCCUCUUCUACAAAAUGGGAGUGAUCAUAUGCUCUCUGGGGUUUGUGAAGAGUGACAGAAUAAAUGCCCACAAGGAGUCCAGUGCAGUACCAGGCACACAGCAGGCGCUCAGUUAAUGGUUGCCCUUCAUGUGAAAACUGCCCUAGGAACUUUACAUGCUCAGUGGGGAUAUGUGCUUCGGGCUCCUGAGUCAGGGGAGGACAAAGGGAGAUCCAGGAGGGCUGGGAAGGGAGAAGAAGGUGGAAACUGCUUCUUGGGGCGGGUCAGAGCUAAGUUACCCAGAGUUCCGGUCCUGAAGGGCCUUGAAUGCAACGCCGAAGAGCCACCAAAACAAAACUUCCGGAGUUAGAGAAAGCACAACAACUGCCCUAAGCCCAGGGAUGGGAUACUUUCUCCUCCACAGGUGCCAGCACUGGCCCGCAGCGCCCGAGCGAGCCUGGAGAGCAGAAACGAAAUGGGCACGGGCAACACAUUCCCAGUCUUCAGAGAAUACGAGUCCAGAUAGCCCUCCCAAGGCUUGUGAACCUUCCCUGUGUAACUCCCCAGCUAGUCACACGGUGGCGAUAGUGUACCACAAAAGUCCUCUUUCUCCUCCAAGUCUAUCAGCUAAAACAGUCGAGUACCAAUCAGUGCCUCCAAGAACCGUAGGGAGAAUCCUUGCAUCAGCUCCGUGAGACGGAGUCUGUUUAUAUUUCCAACUUCCAGGUGGGAAUGAGGACUCAGAGAAGUCCAAUAUUGCCCUGAAGAUCAUCCAACCAAGACUCGAACUUUGAUCUCUGCUAUUUCCCAGUCUGGCUGCCUGCCCUAGGACUGCAGUUCAUGGUUCUCUCUCCUGCCUCCAGCAGUCGGCAGUGCUGCCUUUGCCGAGCUGGCAAUUAGUCUGCCCUGGGUGUGGAAUAUUAGACAGGACAAGGAAGACUUUCACUUUGGCUUCCCCUCUUAAGUUUAGCUCACUUGUGCAGCUUUUGCAUUGUGAGUGAAGCCAAAGGGGUGGGGUGAGGAAGGAAGCCCAAGGGAAGUAAAUGGGAGAGAGGGCAGAACCUGGCUGGAGGGGCAUUGAGAUUUCUCUUUUUCAAUCCGCAGCGCAGCGCGCGCCCCCAGGACUGACCGCUGCUGAUUGGCCUGCGGGGGCCACCUGACCGAGCCGGCCAAUCAGAGGCGCUCUCCCAGAAAUGCUUUAAGCGCUGUGUGAGCGGAAGCUAGAGCUGCGGUGGGGCGGCUCCGGGGCCACGUGCAGACAACUGGGCUCCUGUCCCGCUACCCUGCCUGAGUCCGCAGACCCGACUGGCCCGGACCCUGAAUCCUUUUGCCAAGUCUCCCUCUUCUCUCCAGCCGGCUCAUGCAGUUUAUCCCUGUUAUGUACAUCCCAGUCCCUUUUGUCACGUCAGGCUCAAAAUGGUGAUGUGGCGGAAGACAGAACCAAGUUCAAGUCACUCAUCAAGUGACCAACGACAGGUGUUUAACAUUGUUGAGACUUAGGUUCCUGCUCUGUAAAAUGAGACUGCUAAAUACCUACCAGGUGUUUUUGUACAUGGUUGAGUCCCCCCUCCACCCCCCAAAAAAUACCCAUGGGUUGUAUUUUUUUAUGGUUGUUGAAUUUCCUACCCUUUAGGAGCUCACAAUCAUCAUGCAAGGCCUGGUGUUAAGGCUACUUUUUCUUUCUAGUCUCUUACUAGAUCGUAAACUGCUUGUCAACAGGGAUCUGCCUGUGUGCCUUUUUAGUCUUCCAACGGCACAAUCGCUUCACUUGGUCUGCUAAGGGUCAAUUUAACCUACAGAAACAGUAGUAGGGCAGAGUAUGUAAAAACCAUGGGAUUUACAGCACAGAAAACCUCUGCAGUCAGGUGGGUUUCUGUGCCAUGAUCCACAAGUGUGAUGCCACAGGGAGCGUACCGGAGAAACACCUUAAGACUGCUGUCAUGUACCAGCUCUGUGAGCUUGGGCAGAUCUUGAACUCCCUGGAGCCUUGCAAGAACAAUGAUUGUGACCAGAAAGAUUACAGGACUUACCAGAAACAGCUGUAACCAGAUAAGCUUGAGGGAACCAACCUGAUAAGUGCAGCCAGCUGCAAAGAAGAAAUCAACAUGUCAUUAACCAAACAGUGUAUUUAAGCAAUGAAUAAGCCACCCUUCUGGGAGAUUGAGCUUUGAAUGUGAAUCCUGUGUCCUUUACUUUCUGCAAGUAAAUGAAACUGCCUAACAACAA
Phyllostomus discolor (pale spear-nosed bat) is the source of this 2778-nucleotide long non-coding RNA. RefSeq lists it as uncharacterized. The record is from RefSeq and is a predicted model, not a curated record. The transcript has 3 exons. Lineage: Eukaryota; Metazoa; Chordata; Mammalia; Chiroptera; Phyllostomidae.